CGGCGUCUCAAAAGUUACGAUAAAAUGGUCAAAAUACUCUUAUAAUAGUUUACCAAAAAACUUCUAUUAAAUACACAUAUUCUUUGACUCAUAUAUAACAAACAUACCGUAUUGGUUGACCAUGGUAUUCUAAUAUAGCUUCAAAAACGUUUAACUUCAAAAUUAGCUUCAUCACAUUCGAUUCACAAAAAUAAGUACUCUCUCGAUUAGGGGACCGAAA
This 220-nucleotide long non-coding RNA is filed under the name Mytilus galloprovincialis (Mediterranean mussel). The record is from RNAcentral. Lineage: Eukaryota; Metazoa; Mollusca; Bivalvia; Mytilida; Mytilidae.